GUAAGAAUGGCCAAGUGGUCUAAGGCGCCAGACUCAAGAGUAAAUGUUAUCCCGUAGAGGGAGUUGGGUGUUCUGGUCCACUGAUGUGGGGGUGGAUUCGAAUCCCACUUCUGAUACU
RNAcentral lists this transfer RNA (118 nucleotides) under Cordylochernes scorpioides. RNAcentral describes it as "tRNA-Leu". It matches the Rfam family "tRNA". From Rfam's summary of the family: Transfer RNA (tRNA) molecules are approximately 80 nucleotides in length. Their secondary structure includes four short double-helical elements and three loops (D, anti-codon, and T loops). Further hydrogen bonds mediate the characteristic L-shaped molecular structure. tRNAs have two regions of fundamental functional importance: the anti-codon, which is responsible for specific mRNA codon recognition, and the 3' end, to which the tRNAs corresponding amino acid is attached (by aminoacyl-tRNA synthetases). tRNAs cope with the degeneracy of the genetic code in two manners: having more than one tRNA (with a specific anti-codon) for a particular amino acid; and 'wobble' base-pairing, i.e. permitting non-standard base-pairing at the 3rd anti-codon position. The record is from RNAcentral. Lineage: Eukaryota; Metazoa; Arthropoda; Arachnida; Pseudoscorpiones; Chernetidae.